RNAcentral lists this transfer RNA (72 nucleotides) under Loxodonta africana (African savanna elephant). It matches the Rfam family "tRNA". From Rfam's summary of the family: Transfer RNA (tRNA) molecules are approximately 80 nucleotides in length. Their secondary structure includes four short double-helical elements and three loops (D, anti-codon, and T loops). Lineage: Eukaryota; Metazoa; Chordata; Mammalia; Proboscidea; Elephantidae. The record is from Rfam by way of RNAcentral.
GCUCUGGUGGGGCAAUGCUUGAGCGUUCAGCUGCUAACUGAAAGAUUGGUGGUUCAAACCCACCCAGUGGCU